RNAcentral lists this ribosomal RNA (466 nucleotides) under uncultured bacterium. RNAcentral's name for it is "partial 16S ribosomal RNA". It matches the Rfam family "Bacterial small subunit ribosomal RNA", at positions 28 to 507 of the family's 1533-position model. The record is from RNAcentral.
GACGAACGCUGGCGGCGUGCUUAACACAUGCAAGUCGAACGGAAAGGCCCCUUUGGGGGUACUCGAGUGGCGAACGGGUGAGUAACACGUGAGUAACCUGCCCUUGACUUCGGGAUAACUUCAGGAAACUGGGGCUAAUACCGGAUAGGAAUCCUUGCUGCAUGGUGGGGGUUGGAAAGCUUCGGCGGUUUUGGAUGGACUCGCGGCUUAUCAGCUUGUUGGUGGGGGUAGUGGCUUACCAAGGCUUUGACGGGUAGCCGGCCUGAGAGGGCGACCGGCCACAUUGGGACUGAGAUACGGCCCAGACUCCUACGGGAGGCAGCAGUGGGGAAUAUUGCACAAUGGGCGGAAGCCUGAUGCAGCAACGCCGCGUGCGGGAUGACGGCCUUCGGGUUGUAAACCGCUUUCAGCAGGGGCGAAGCUUGUGGUGACGGUACCUGCAGAAGAAGCACCGGCUAACUACGUG